GCGGGUAUGGCGGAAUUGGCAGACGCAAUGGAUUUAGGUUCCAUCGAGUUUCCUCGUGCAGGUUCAAGUCCUGUUACCCGUACCA
This 85-nucleotide transfer RNA is filed under the name Oscillospiraceae bacterium. Its description in RNAcentral is "tRNA-Leu". It matches the Rfam family "tRNA". Rfam says of the family: Transfer RNA (tRNA) molecules are approximately 80 nucleotides in length. Their secondary structure includes four short double-helical elements and three loops (D, anti-codon, and T loops). Lineage: Bacteria; Bacillati; Bacillota; Clostridia; Eubacteriales; Oscillospiraceae. The record is from RNAcentral.